Bos taurus (domestic cattle) is the source of this 1388-nucleotide long non-coding RNA. NCBI's taxonomy places the organism in Eukaryota, Metazoa, Chordata, Mammalia, Artiodactyla, Bovidae. The record is from Ensembl.
CUCCCUUCCCAACCACCAGGGGCCUGGGUUUGGAGGCGCAAGACUUUGUUGAUUUCGUGGAGGGGCAGCCAGCUGCGCGGCGAGAAAGAGAAACGGAAGCUUGGAGAACUGGAGCGACUUGCCAGGAUUGCACUGGACAUGGCAGCGGCAGCACCCAUCUGACGCCCAAGGAAGCUGCUGCCUCCUGUCCUGGUCCUGACCUUUGGCUUCUCAAGGGCUGUGCUACUUGUGGCAGUUGUUCAAACAGCUUCAAUAUCCUGGCACAAGAUGGCACUUCAUUUGAUGGGAUGCAGCACAAGGCCAGUCUCGUUCCCAAGGAAACAGCUGCCAACAGAUGAUAGGCUUCACUUUCUCAUGAAGCUGUGGGUUUCCAGCCUCAGGGAGUGAAGAAGUCUCAAAGUGAAAAGCUGCAAUCAAUUCCUCACUCUGCUGCUGUGUGUGGCAUCUCUGUCUGUCUGAAUCUGACCCAUUGUUCAAAGCCCAACUUAAAUGCCACUUCCUCCCAUGGAGACUUUUCUGAUUUUUUCCUUUCUCCCAGGUUCCCCUCUCUGUCAUGCUAGGUAUGAUCAUAGGCCACCAGACUCCUCUGUCCAUGGAGUUCUCCAGGGAGUGUGUUGCCAUUCCCUUCUCCAGGGGAUCUUCCCAGUCUCUCACAUUGCAGACAGAUUCUUUACCAUCUGAGCCACCAGAGAAGCCCAGGUAUGACUCACCUUCCUCCAAAUACACUCACUUGCUGUGACUGUCCUUAGAGUUAAAUAGUUGACCUCUAUGGGCCUUAAUUAUUAAUCCUUCCUUUGUAAAGUGGAAAUAAUAUCUGCCUUGUAAGGCAAAAGUUCAGAGAAGGCAAUGGCACCCCACUCCAGUACUUUUGCCUGGAAAAUCCCAUGGACAGAGGAGCCUGGUAGGCUGCAGUCCAUGGGGUUGCUAGAGUCAGACACGACUGAGCAACUUCACUUUCACUUUCACUUUUCACUUUCAUGCAUUGGAGAAGGAAAUGGCAAACCACUCUAGUGUUCUUGCCUGGAGAAUCCCAGGGACGGCAGAGCCUGGUGGGCUGCUGUCUAUGGGGUUGCACAGAGUCGGACAUGACUGAAGUGACUUAGCAGCAGCAGCAACAGCAAGGCAAAAGUUAAAAGAAAGAAUACAUGUAAUAUAUGUACAGUCCUAGCACACAGAAUGUUCUUACAUAUGUUGUUCUGAUGUUACCACACUCAAAUCUAUACCCACACAGCCCUACACAAUCACAGACAGAUUUUACCUGUGUGUGUUAAGGCCCUUAUUCUUUUUUCCUUCUAUAAUAAUUAUUUGUGUAGGUUCCCAGAGUUGGGGUAGAGAAAUAGGGUGUAGUGAAAAGAAAUAGGAUUUGGAAUAAAAAAUCUGGGUCUCCC